Meriones unguiculatus (Mongolian gerbil) is the source of this 2935-nucleotide long non-coding RNA. RefSeq lists it as uncharacterized. The transcript is spliced from 6 exons. Lineage: Eukaryota; Metazoa; Chordata; Mammalia; Rodentia; Muridae. The record is from RefSeq and is a predicted model, not a curated record.
CUUUUUUGAGAUUUGAAUUUUCCCUAGCAAAGCGAGAGAAGUAAAAUACCCGGAUGUUGAGCUCUGCUCUUUUCGCGCCAAUAUUUUUAUCCAAUUGCAAUUACUCAUUUGACAAAGGCCAGAGACGAGCCCCUGCUCAUAAAGCUGUAACACCAAGAGCUGCAAUUGCACCCGUGGCUGGGAAGCAGCUGUUUUCCUGGCCAGAGCACUCAGCAGAAGUUGACAGGAUCUGACUCCUAUCACCAGUUAACCAUUCUGCUGGCUGGAAGACAGAAGAGUCGGGAUAACAUAAGUAUCAUGGAGCAACAUAUGGGUGUAGGGAAGGAUGCAGAGACACCAGGAGAUCAAACCCAGGGCCUUACAAAGGCUUUACCAUUGUGCUGCACCCCACACUAGGAACUUCUGAUUCUAGACAAGUAAAUAAAGUAAUCUGAGACAUGAAGAACAGGGAGGAGGAGGAGAGGCAAGUCUUAUGUGAAAGAAGAGAGACCUCCCAAAUGCUGGAAUCAGAGGCGUGUGCUACCAUACUCAGCUGAACUUUGAGAAUCUUGAAGACAAUUGUUCACCACUAUCAGAAAUGACAGUUCACUAUAUAGCUACAAGAAGUGAAUGUGUGGUACUGGCACAGUGGCAGAGAAACUAAAGCUACCAGAAAAAGAAGAUACAGCUUCCAGCUCCUUCAUGAAGACUCCACAUUGAUUCACAGGCACAGCUUUUUCUAGCUGGUGUGGAAUAAAGAGGAUUUCCAUGUGGGGCAUCUUAAUUCCUGCCUGCCCUGACAAGUCAACAGUUUAUGAGGUCAAUUUGAAAGCUGUGUGUAAUCACAGCACUCAGGAAGCCGAAGUAAGAAUCUUAAGUUCAAGGGAAACCUGGGUAGCACAGUGAAAUUCUGUCUCAAAACAAAACAAAAACAAAAACAAAACAAACAAACAAACAAACAAAAAAACCAAAAGAAAAACAAGAACAAGAAGAAAAAAAAAAACAACCAAAAAUUAACUUGAGAUGCAGCCCAAUUUAACUAUGAAAAGAAAAACAAAACAAAACCAAACAAACAAACAAAGAAACAAAAAACCACAAAGAUUAGCUGAGCAUGGUACCCUUUAAUCCCAGAACUAGGGAUGCAGAGGCAUGCAGUUUAAGGACCAGCAAAAUGAGUUCCAAGACAGCCAGAAUUAUGUAGAGAGAUACUCUCAAAAAAAUUACCAUCAGGGGCUGGAGAGAUGGCUUAGUGAGUAAGAGCACUGUCUGCUCUUCCAGAGGUCCUGAGUUCAAUUCCCAGCAACCACAUAGUGGCUCACAAGCAUCUAUAAUGAGAUCUGGUGCCCUCUUCUGGCGUGCAGGCACACAUGCAGGCAGAACAUUGUAUACAUAAUAAAUCUUUCUAUUGCUGUGAUAUACACCAUGUCCAAAAGCAACUUGUGGAUGAAAGGAUUCAUUUCAUUUACGACUCCCAGAUUACAGUCUGUUCCUGAGGGAAAUCAGGGAAAAACUCAAGGCAGGAUCCUGGAGGCAGUCGCUAAAGCACAGGCCAUGGAGGAACACUGUUUUACUGCCUUGCUCCUCCUGGCUUUUUCACCUUGGUUUCUUAUGCAACACAGGACCACCUGCCCAAGGGUGGUACCAGCUACAGUGGGCACCACCCUCAGCUUUCUGUGCUAAUCUUCUCUGUAUCGUUCCAAUUUUAGUAUAUGUGCUGCCGAAGCAAGCACAAAUAUUCAUUUCUCUUAUUUUUUUAAUUAUGUGUAGGGGGGUAUUUACACAUAAAUGCAAGUGCCCACAGAGAUCAGAGGUGUGAGAUCCCCUUGGAGUUGGAAGCUUCUAGCCUCCAUAUAAUCUAAUUUAGGCCUAGAAUGUUUUCAUCCUCCAAGACUUACUGCUGAAUAAGCUCACCCUUUCUAGCUCUUUCUGAACUCUGGCUGGUUGGUUCAGCUCAGCUCUUCUGGCUCAAAACUCCUCUCCAAGCUGACUGUUUCAAACUGUCUUCUCUCCACUUCUCACAGAAUUACUCUGCUUUGGAAAACUGCCUCUGAAUUCCAUAAACUGAACUGCAUUGUACUGUAUUGUAUUCCUAAACUCUACUGUACUGUCUCCCCAAACCUCUUGCUCUCUCUCUGCAUUGCUCUUAAGGAACUUCUCUUUCCUGUGAGAAUUGGGUGUAUCCUAUCUCUGACUGAUUCUGUGAAAUCUUUCUCUGAUUAUCACUUGUCUGUCCCUCAAGUAGACAUUAUUGCUUGGGAUUAAAGGUGUGUACUAAAGGUGUGUAUGUAUUCUAGCCAGAGUGAUUAAAAUUGUGUCUUGUCAAUAUUCUAGCCAGAGGGAUUAAAUAAGGGUGUGUCUGUAUUUCAGCCAGAUCCCACAGACCUAGGUCUUUGGAUAGGGUCCCUUGCCAGAGUAGCCAUAGAGAAAAUUCCUCUACUUCUCCCUUUCUGUUUACCCUACAAAUCAUUCACAGUUUAAUUAUUACAACAGAAACAAUUAUCAAUCCCAGAAUUUAACAGUUGAAAUGAAAUGUCCUUAUGAAGACCCGUUGAUGUGGUGUUCAUUCAUAAUUUCAGUCCUGAUCAUCUGUUCUUCAGCAAAUGUGUAUUUCAGCAUCAAGGUUUUCCAGCCUGCCAGCCAGAUGAAUAAUCUGUCCUUCUUCAACUGACAGAGCUAUCUCCAUGGAGAGGGAUCAGCUUUUUGCAUUGUCUGCAUUGCUGUUUUUCCGCAUCUCUUCCAUGAGUGGUGCCUUUAAUGUAGAAGCUUCUCUUACUUAGAUCAGAUCUUUAUCAAUUUUGAUGGAACCCAUAAUUUUUCAUCCCCUGUGGAAAUAUAGGCCUCUUGCCCAACGAAACAUAUUCUCUAACUUCCAUUCUGAUGUCAAAACAUCUUUAAAUUAUCCAGGUUGUUCUAAUUCAGUAGUUUUUCUGCAACACAGUGUCUUUCAGCAGCUGUU